GCAAGGCCGAAUUCCGUUUCACAGAUAGAGGACUGAGAUCUGGAGGCAGAGGGCAGGAAUUAAAAACAAGACAAACAAGAGCCUUAUACAGGCAGUGUCUUUCUGAGUCUGAUCCCUGUUGUCUUGAGAGCUGCGGUGAGGGAAAGUCGUCUUCAGAGCCCUCAGGGUCAAAGCAGUUUGUUACCCUUGAGAUAGACAAAGCUCCUAACCUCUCCAGCUUUUUGCCGACAGCUCGAUUCUGAUGGGCACUGACCUUUUCCGACCCUGUUUUCAGGAGCCGACUCCUGGCAGGUUGGUUGUAGGGGCCCUCUUGAGUGCUUCACACACAGCAGUCCUGUUGAGCUUGGAUUCCAGCCUCAAAUUCCGCGAUUUGGCCGGCAUCCUAAUCCCCGAGUGACUCUUGCCAACCACUCUCUGUGGGGCCUGUGUGCUUCCUCCUGGGUUCUGGGGCGCUGGCGGCGUCCGCUUCACCGGGAACGGGAGCCCCAGCCUCCCGAGGCCUUCCUGCCUGGCUCUGGGAAUGGCCACUGUCCAGAAAGCCCCGCGGCCGUCCAUGCUCGCUCGCUCAGUCAGGCCCUUGUGGGGAUAUUGCAGAACGAGUCCGAGUUACUAUCCCUUUAAAUACAGGCGUUUCGGCCUAGCUGCCGCCGGUCCAAUCCGCAGCGCUUCCGUGCCCCACUUUCCCGCGUCAGCCUGGCUCCGGCCUCCACCAGGGGGUGCUAGUGAGAUCCCAGCCAGCCUCAGAGCUGAGCGUCCAGGGCCUUCAAAUGUCCCCAUCCUUGAAAAGGCAACUCCAGUGGCAUCUUCUGCGGGGAGACCAGAAGCAGCAUCUGACGAGGAGACAGCACUGGCGGUCCCGACACAACUGAAUCGGCAGGAUGAGGGCCCUUAGUGUUAGGCACCGGCGGAGCUGCAUCCCACCCCGUCUCGUCCCCUGAGAACAGCUGUGAGAAGCCGCCUAUUUUUCAUCGUUCUGCAACACACCUUUCCCUUCCUUGGGAUAUUUCUCCUCUUUCAGCAUUGCCGCAUCAGGGUUCCAAAGCCCCGUUUCUCUCCUAGUUCUUUCUUUGCUCAAGAAAAGCAGCUUGUCUGAUAAACUAAGCUAUGUAUGAUUCGCUGCCAGUACAGACUGAAAAACAAAAUAAACUCCCAAUUCACAGUCCUCCGUUGCGUAACAGUGAGCAGACGUUCUGAGAAAUGCAUCGUCAGGCAAUUGCAUCAUUGUGCAAACAAUAUAGAGUGUACUUACCCAAACCUAAACAGCACAGCCUACUACACACCCAGGCUGUAGGCUGUGCUUCUAGACUACAAACCUGUACAGUGUGGUACUGAACACUGUAGGCAACUGUAACACAAUGGUGUACCUAAUUCCUCUGCCUAGAAAGUGUGCUGGAAUUACUGCCUGGCUUCUGAUGAAUAGGGCGUAUUGAGAGUGAUGCUUUGUGAGUUCUGAGGCUAGGUCAUAGAAAGGAUUGAACUUAUUCCUGAAUGUUGCUCUUGGAUCACUUGCUUUUUUGGGAACCACCAGCCAUGUCAUGAGGACACUCAAGCAACCCUGCAGAGAAGCACAUGUGUGGAGAGGCACUUCUUGGAAAGGAGGCCAACUUGCCAGAACCAACUAAUUUGUCAUGUGAGUGAGUCAUUUUGGAAGCAGAUCCUCUACCCUCAGUCAGGCCUUCCGAUGAUUUCAGCCCCCAGCCUUUGAGUCUGCCCCAAACACCAUGAGUAGAGACAAGCCCUUCCCACUGUGUCCACCCUGGCUGAAUUCCAGACCGUUAAAAAAACAAGAGAAA
Molecule: long non-coding RNA, 1793 nt
Filed under: Homo sapiens (human)
Lineage: Eukaryota; Metazoa; Chordata; Mammalia; Primates; Hominidae
Description: non-protein coding lnc-ASB7-4:3
Source: RNAcentral